RNAcentral lists this ribosomal RNA (496 nucleotides) under uncultured bacterium. RNAcentral's name for it is "bacterial SSU rRNA". It matches the Rfam family "Bacterial small subunit ribosomal RNA", at positions 30 to 504 of the family's 1533-position model. The record is from RNAcentral.
CGAACGCUGGCGGCGUGCUUAACACAUGCAAGUCGGAUGCGAACCGCUCCUUCGGGGGGGUAGUAGCAUGGCAGACGGGUGAGGAGCGCGUACCUGACCGGACACAGGCAGGGGGAUAGUCCUUCGAAAGGAGGUUGAAUACCGCAUGUGCUCAGGGGUGUCAUGUUCCUGAGCAAAGGUGGCCUCUGCGUGCAAGCUGUCGGCCUGUGACGGGGGUGCGUCCUAUUAGCUAGCUGGUGGGGUAAUGGCCUACCAGGGCGACGAUGGGUAGCUGGUCUGAGAGGAUGAUCAGCCACACUGGGACUGCGACACGGCCCAGACUCCUACGGGAGGCAGCAGUGGGGAAUUUUGCGCAAUGGACGCAAGUCUGACGCAGCAACGCCGCGUGCGUGAUGACGCCUUUCGGGGUGUAAAGCGCUGUCGAGCGGGACGAAGACCUUCGUAUGAACAGUAGGGAGGGAUGACGGUACCGCUGGAGGAAGCCCCGGCUAACUCC